Molecule: ribosomal RNA, 435 nt
Filed under: uncultured bacterium
Lineage: Bacteria
Description: partial 16S ribosomal RNA
Rfam family: Bacterial small subunit ribosomal RNA
Source: RNAcentral
AGCGAACGCUGGCGGCAGGCUUAACACAUGCAAGUCGAACGGGCAUAGCAAUAUGUCCGUGGCAGACGGGUGAGUAACGCGUGGGAACGUACCUUUUGGUUCGGAACAACACAGGGAAACUUGUGCUAAUACCGGAUAAGCCCUUACGGGGAAAGAUUUAUCGCCGAAAGAUCGGCCCGCGUCUGAUUCGCUAGUUGGUAGGGUAAUGGCCUACCAAGGCGACGAUCAGUAGCUGGUCUGAGAGGAUGAUCAGCCACAUUGGGACUGAGACACGGCCCAAACUCCUACGGGAGGCAGCAGUGGGGAAUAUUGGGCAAUGGGCGAAAGCAUGAUCCAGCCAUGCCGCGUGAGUGAUGAAGGACCUAGGGUUGUAAAGCUCUUUUGUGCGGGAAGAUAAUGACGGUACCGAAAGAAUAAGCCCCGGCUAACUUCGUG